AGUUCUUCCCCCCAACCCAGAGGAAGCGGGAGAGCAGUUUACGACAGCGCCGGUCGUGUUUACGGCGGCGCCCGCUGCGCGCGCAUCUUCCCUCUUUUCCUGGUUUCUGAGAGUGCUACUGCUAACGCGGUGCCCGGCCCGCACCAUCUGUUGCCAUCCCGGCCGGCCGAGGCCGUUACAGACAGCGUCUCAUUUUGUCACCCAUGCUGGAGUGCAGUGGCAUGCAACCUCCGCCUCCCGGGUUCAAGCGAUUCUCCUGCCUCAGCCUCCCGAGUAGCUGGGAUUACAGGCCAUCUGUCUGGCUAUUAAAAUCCCAUCAGCUUCAUUGCGAGAACGCUUACUUCCCCCACGCCUGCCAUCCCAAAGGGGGCUCUUACAGCCAACUAGCUCAUGAUCGCUCCGGGCCCUCCAAAGGGCACGAGAGAAGAUGAAGGGGAAAGGAGCGAACUCCAGAGUCUUAGAGAGGCAGUACGAUGGGUUCUCGCACCAACCAGCACUUUCUGUGUGGAGUCUCACCUCUUGUAACCCUGAGUGCAAAAAUACCAGGAACAAGCUGACUUCCCACCUGGCAGAACAGAAUGCUAAACAGGCCGACCUCUUUAGGAAUCUGGUGAAAGCUACAAACCCUCUCUCUAGAAAAGCACACACAAACAUAACAUUUUGCAAUUCACUUUCAAGAGCCCCAGGUUCCCAUAAAGAGACUCAAGAACCUUGAUAGUAGAGAGCAAGUUCUUCAAGGGCCAGGCCCAUAUCCUAGUCCUCCUUCCUUCCUUCCUCCUCCACCUCCUCAGUCCCUCCCUUGAAUGCUUCCCGAUUCUAUUCCAAAAUGCUCAGACAAGUCUAGACCACAGCCUUGCACUGCAUCUCUCCUAGGGAGGAUGGUGUGACCACAGAGACCCUGGGCCCACCUGGGGGAGCCCUGAGUUCCCCUGGGUAAAGGCAUCACUCACCACACU
Symphalangus syndactylus (siamang) is the source of this 956-nucleotide long non-coding RNA. RefSeq lists it as uncharacterized. Lineage: Eukaryota; Metazoa; Chordata; Mammalia; Primates; Hylobatidae. The record is from RefSeq and is a predicted model, not a curated record.